GGGCCCGCACAAGCGGUGGAGUAUGUGGUUUAAUUCGAUGAUACGCGAGGAACCUUACCAGGGCUUAAAUGUAGUGGGACAGGUCUAGAGAUAGACCCUUCUUCGGACUCAUUACAAGGUGCUGCAUGGUUGUCGUCAGCUCGUGCCGUGAGGUGUCAGGUUAAGUCCUAUAACGAGCGCAACCCCUAUCGUUAGUUGCCAGCGAGUAAUGUCGGGAACUCUAGCGAAACUGCCGGUGCAAACCGAGAGGAAGGUGGGGAUGACGUCAAAUCAUCACGGCCCUUACGUCCUGGCUACACACGUGCUACAAUGGGUAGAACAAUAAGUUGCUAAGUUGCGAAACCAAGCG
RNAcentral lists this ribosomal RNA (349 nucleotides) under uncultured bacterium. Its description in RNAcentral is "bacterial SSU rRNA". It matches the Rfam family "Bacterial small subunit ribosomal RNA", at positions 917 to 1269 of the family's 1533-position model. The record is from RNAcentral.